RNAcentral lists this long non-coding RNA (405 nucleotides) under Physcomitrium patens. RNAcentral describes it as "long non-coding RNA (PPAT_LNC006303)". The record is from RNAcentral. Lineage: Eukaryota; Viridiplantae; Streptophyta; Bryopsida; Funariales; Funariaceae.
UUUUGUGAAAGAGAUGUAGGUGUUCAAAGUUAAGGUGUUAAAUUUGUAUCUACUAUCACUCUUUGAAGCAUAACAUAUGCAUAUAGAAAGCAAUAAAAUAUUGGUAACUAGAGUUGGAGAGAAAACUUUCUUGGCUACACUUUACAUAUAUUAUUUGAUAAAUUUUUUAGUCUAGAUGAAGGAAUUACAAGGCUUUGAAGAUAAUACAUGUAAUUCAAAGGUAGUAAGUUAGUCAUUUUAUUAAUAGUAAUGGUUGGAGCCAUAUCUUGAGUUUUUGAAUGAAUUUUUGGCUCAAAUUUUUUAUAAGUAUGUAUUAUUAAGUUAAAAAGCUAUAAAUCAAAACUUCAUGGUAUUUGAGUACUUAUUUUGUGAGAUAUGAAGAAAAUAGCAUGCAUAUAUAUGUAA